Molecule: long non-coding RNA, 842 nt
Filed under: Cricetulus griseus (Chinese hamster)
Lineage: Eukaryota; Metazoa; Chordata; Mammalia; Rodentia; Cricetidae
Description: lncRNA (ENSCGRG00015021392.2)
Source: RNAcentral
UUACAAGUCGCUUAAUACAAAUAAAUUUACUUCAGUGUGGCAAAAGAAGUAUUGUGAGAAAAUUAAAUGAUGGGAAUGUUUUUAUUUCAGAAAUCUUGUUCCUGUACAUAAGUAUAUGACAAAUAAUAUUGCUCUUAUCAUGUUACUAAAGCCUGUCAGAAACCCAGAGCAUAGACAAAAGAACAUCGUUUUUCUGUAUAGUUUUUCAUUCUUUUGCUUUUCAUCAAGAGGUGCUUUCCAGAGACCCAGUCUCUAAUGUCUUUAUAAUCAAAAGCGUAAGUGUGUCAUGAUCCAAACCAAAUUGUCUUAAUGUUUUACAUCAGGUUGUAACACUUAUAUUAUCAUAUCCCAGUGGUUGCAUUGGUCACCAAAAUUCACUGAUAGUUACUAAAAAUACAUCUUACUCUAAAAAUGUUAUUACUGUUAACUUAAUGUUUUUGCCAUAUAUCAUUAUCAACUUGAAGAUGUAAAGUACAUAAAUUCUCUUUGUCCUCCAAAAAGCUCUCUCCUAUUCCACAUAGCUCUGUCUGGAAAAACAUAUGCAAAGGAUGUCAUAAGCCACAGCCACACAUCACCCUCCUAUAGUGGAAUCAGAGUGUAAAGGGAUGCUAGCUGAAGACACUCAGAGCUGAAGGGUCCUGAGAAGAAAAUGAACAGGAUGUUGCCUUCCCAGGAGUGCAGUAGGCAUUUAGUUCCCUGUGAAGAAGAACUGAUACACUGAAAGAUUGAUGGGUUUGCAGAAGAGGAAUCACUGCCAGUCUAGUACCAACACAGGUUCAUAGGACCAGACCAGAAUCACUCCAUUGCAAACAAAGCUCCUUUCCAAUAUGUGUGCAUGUGAC